UGAAGUGGUAAGCAGAUUUGUUUUCUUUUUCUUGAUAUUUGGGGUUCAGGGGCAAAAAUUGAGAUUUAUUUUCAGACUAUUAAUUAUCUUUUGUUGACCCUUCACGUAAAAAUUUUUGUUUAGCACAACCCUUGCCCUGCAUGGAAAAGGGUAAAGAGGUGGAGAACCCCCUUUUAUUACCUGUUACAUGCUUUUGCGCCACUAUUUAUGUUAGUGAUGAUCCAC
RNAcentral lists this unclassified non-coding RNA (225 nucleotides) under Hevea brasiliensis (rubber tree). The record is from RNAcentral. Lineage: Eukaryota; Viridiplantae; Streptophyta; Magnoliopsida; Malpighiales; Euphorbiaceae.